This 536-nucleotide ribosomal RNA is filed under the name uncultured bacterium. RNAcentral's name for it is "bacterial SSU rRNA". It matches the Rfam family "Bacterial small subunit ribosomal RNA", at positions 777 to 1320 of the family's 1533-position model. The record is from RNAcentral.
AAUAGAUACCCUGGUAGUCCACGCCGUAAACGAUGUGUGCUAGAAGUCGGGAUAACUCGGUUUCGAAGCUAACGCAUUAAGCACACCGCCUGGGGAGUACGGUCGCAAGGCUGAAACUCAAAAGGAAUUGACGGGGACCCGCGACAAGUGGUGGAGCAUGUGGUUUAAUUCGAUACAACGCGAUGAACCUUACCAAGACUUGACAUACUCGGCAAAACUAUAGAGAUAUAGUGGAGGUUAUCCGAUGUACAGGUGGUGCAUGGUUGUCGUCAGCUCGUGUCGUGAGAUGUUGGGUUAAGUCCCGCAACGAGCGCAACCCCUAUCUUUAUUUGCUAACAUUAAGUUGAGGACUAUAGAGAGACUGCCUACGCAAGUAGGAGGAAGGUGGGGAUGACGUCAAAUCAUCAUGCCCCUUAUGUCUUGGGCUACACACGUGCUACAAUGGCCGGUACAAAGGGCUGCAAACUGGUGACAGUAAGCAAAAUCCCAUAAAAGCCGGUCUAAGUUUCGGAUUAGAAGUCUGCAACUCGACUUCA